CGUAGGGUGCGAGCGUUGUCCGGAAUUAUUGGGCGUAAAGAGCUCGUAGGCGGUUCGUCGCGUCGAAUGUGAAAUCCCGGGGCUCAACUCCGGGUCUGCAUUCGAUACGGGCGGACUAGAGUUCGGUAGGGGAGACUGGAAUUCCUGGUGUAGCGGUGAAAUGCGCAGAUAUCAGGAGGAACACCGGUGGCGAAGGCGGGUCUCUGGGCCGAUACUGACGCUGAGGAGCGAAAAGCGUGGGGAGCGAACAGGAUU
Molecule: ribosomal RNA, 255 nt
Filed under: uncultured bacterium
Lineage: Bacteria
Description: partial 16S ribosomal RNA
Rfam family: Bacterial small subunit ribosomal RNA
Source: RNAcentral